This 2933-nucleotide ribosomal RNA is filed under the name Enterobacter roggenkampii. RNAcentral describes it as "23S ribosomal RNA". It matches the Rfam family "Bacterial large subunit ribosomal RNA". Lineage: Bacteria; Pseudomonadati; Pseudomonadota; Gammaproteobacteria; Enterobacterales; Enterobacteriaceae. The record is from RNAcentral.
GGGUUGUGAGGUUAAGCGACUAAGCGUACACGGUGGAUGCCCUGGCAGUCAGAGGCGAUGAAGGACGUGCUAAUCUGCGAAAAGCGCCGGCGAGGUGAUAUGAACCUUUGACCCGGCGAUGUCCGAAUGGGGAAACCCAGUGUGAUUCGUCACACUAUCGUUAACUGAAUACAUAGGUUAACGAGGCGAACCGGGGGAACUGAAACAUCUAAGUACCCCGAGGAAAAGAAAUCAACCGAGAUUCCCCCAGUAGCGGCGAGCGAACGGGGAGCAGCCCAGAGUCUGAAUCAGCUUGUGUGUUAGUGGAAGCGUCUGGAAAGUCGCACGGUACAGGGUGACAGUCCCGUACACGAAAAUGCACAGGUUGUGAACUCGAAGAGUAGGGCGGGACACGUGGUAUCCUGUCUGAAUAUGGGGGGACCAUCCUCCAAGGCUAAAUACUCCUGACUGACCGAUAGUGAACCAGUACCGUGAGGGAAAGGCGAAAAGAACCCCGGCGAGGGGAGUGAAAAAGAACCUGAAACCGUGUACGUACAAGCAGUGGGAGCACCUUCGUGGUGUGACUGCGUACCUUUUGUAUAAUGGGUCAGCGACUUAUAUUCUGUAGCAAGGUUAACCGUAUAGGGGAGCCGAAGGGAAACCGAGUCUUAACUGGGCGUUAAGUUGCAGGGUAUAGACCCGAAACCCGGUGAUCUAGCCAUGGGCAGGUUGAAGGUUGGGUAACACUAACUGGAGGACCGAACCGACUAAUGUUGAAAAAUUAGCGGAUGACUUGUGGCUGGGGGUGAAAGGCCAAUCAAACCGGGAGAUAGCUGGUUCUCCCCGAAAGCUAUUUAGGUAGCGCCUCGUGAACUCAUCUUCGGGGGUAGAGCACUGUUUCGGCUAGGGGGCCAUCCCGGCUUACCAACCCGAUGCAAACUACGAAUACCGAAGAAUGUUAUCACGGGAGACACACGGCGGGUGCUAACGUCCGUCGUGAAGAGGGAAACAACCCAGACCGCCAGCUAAGGUCCCAAAGUCAUGGUUAAGUGGGAAACGAUGUGGGAAGGCACAGACAGCCAGGAUGUUGGCUUAGAAGCAGCCAUCAUUUAAAGAAAGCGUAAUAGCUCACUGGUCGAGUCGGCCUGCGCGGAAGAUGUAACGGGGCUAAACCAUGCACCGAAGCUGCGGCAGCGACGCUUAUGCGUUGUUGGGUAGGGGAGCGUUCUGUAAGCCGUUGAAGGUGUGCUGUGAGGCAUGCUGGAGGUAUCAGAAGUGCGAAUGCUGACAUAAGUAACGAUAAAGCGGGUGAAAAGCCCGCUCGCCGGAAGACCAAGGGUUCCUGUCCAACGUUAAUCGGGGCAGGGUGAGUCGACCCCUAAGGCGAGGCCGAAAGGCGUAGUCGAUGGGAAACAGGUUAAUAUUCCUGUACUUGGUGUUACUGCGAAGGGGGGACGGAGAAGGCUAUGUUAGCCGGGCGACGGUUGUCCCGGUUUAAGCAUGUAGGCGGAACGAUUAGGUAAAUCCGGUCGUUUAUUAACGCUGAGGUGUGAUGACGAGGCACUACGGUGCUGAAGUAACAAAUGCCCUGCUUCCAGGAAAAGCCUCUAAGCAUCAGGUAACAUCAAAUCGUACCCCAAACCGACACAGGUGGUCAGGUAGAGAAUACCAAGGCGCUUGAGAGAACUCGGGUGAAGGAACUAGGCAAAAUGGUGCCGUAACUUCGGGAGAAGGCACGCUGAUAUGUAGGUGAAGCCCCUGCGGGUGGAGCUGAAAUCAGUCGAAGAUACCAGCUGGCUGCAACUGUUUAUUAAAAACACAGCACUGUGCAAACACGAAAGUGGACGUAUACGGUGUGACGCCUGCCCGGUGCCGGAAGGUUAAUUGAUGGGGUUAGCGGCAACGCGAAGCUCUUGAUCGAAGCCCCGGUAAACGGCGGCCGUAACUAUAACGGUCCUAAGGUAGCGAAAUUCCUUGUCGGGUAAGUUCCGACCUGCACGAAUGGCGUAAUGAUGGCCAGGCUGUCUCCACCCGAGACUCAGUGAAAUUGAACUCGCUGUGAAGAUGCAGUGUACCCGCGGCAAGACGGAAAGACCCCGUGAACCUUUACUAUAGCUUGACACUGAACACUGGUCCUUGAUGUGUAGGAUAGGUGGGAGGCUUUGAAGUGUGGACGCCAGUCUGCAUGGAGCCGUCCUUGAAAUACCACCCUUUAAUGGCUGGUGUUCUAACGUAGACCCGUAAUCCGGGUUGCGGACAGUGUCUGGUGGGUAGUUUGACUGGGGCGGUCUCCUCCCAAAGAGUAACGGAGGAGCACGAAGGUUAGCUAAUCCUGGUCGGACAUCAGGAGGUUAGUGCAAUGGCAUAAGCUAGCUUGACUGCGAGAGUGACGGCUCGAGCAGGUGCGAAAGCAGGUCAUAGUGAUCCGGUGGUUCUGAAUGGAAGGGCCAUCGCUCAACGGAUAAAAGGUACUCCGGGGAUAACAGGCUGAUACCGCCCAAGAGUUCAUAUCGACGGCGGUGUUUGGCACCUCGAUGUCGGCUCAUCACAUCCUGGGGCUGAAGUAGGUCCCAAGGGUAUGGCUGUUCGCCAUUUAAAGUGGUACGCGAGCUGGGUUUAGAACGUCGUGAGACAGUUCGGUCCCUAUCUGCCGUGGGCGCUGGAGAAUUGAGGGGGGCUGCUCCUAGUACGAGAGGACCGGAGUGGACGCAUCACUGGUGUUCGGGUUGUCAUGCCAAUGGCACUGCCCGGUAGCUAAAUGCGGAAAAGAUAAGUGCUGAAAGCAUCUAAGCACGAAACUUGCCCCGAGAUGAGUUCUCCCUGACUCCUUGAGAGUCCUGAAGGAACGUUGAAGACGACGACGUUGAUAGGUCGGGUGUGUAAGCGCAGCGAUGCGUUGAGCUAACCGAUACUAAUGAACCGUGAGGCUUAACCUUACAACGCCGAAGGUGUUU